ACUGACAGCCACGAUAACCAAUAAAAUGGAAAUGUGGGAAAAAUCCUUCGCGCCCCCUCCCAAUCAGAACACUUGCGGGCUGAGAGGCGCGGAUCUGCGCCGCGGGAACUUGGUCCGGCUGGGAGCGGAGCGGCGAUGAACACGGUCGGCUGCUCAGAGAAGGGCAAGCGAGUGACCGGUGACCGCGGGCGGGGGCCCCAGAGCCGCCGACCGCCACGACUUCUGCCUAGAGGCGGUAGUUUUUAUUUCCAAGAGUUAAGCGAAAGUGCUCAACUCGAAAGAUGGUUGAACUAGCAUAAGGAGAGACUUUACUAUAAGAAGGCAUUCUAACAAAGAAUAUACAUGCACAUCUGACACAAUAACCAAAACGAAUAGAAGAAAUCCCUCAAGGAUGUAAAGCGAAUGGAAAAGCAUACUGACUCCUCAUGGUAUAUUUUAUUAGAAGCAUCUAGGAGGCAUUGCUUUUUAAGAAAGGAAAUAUAGAUGACAAUGCUGAACAAUGUUUAGUUCAGGACUGAAAGUUCAUCUGAAGUAUGAGAAAUAUGUUAGCCUCCAUUCGGAAGAAGAUAAUCCUAAGAGAUGAAAGCAACUGUUAGUGCACAUUAGUAAAUGUUUUGGAACCAAAGUCCAUAAUUUUGAUCUGAGAUAUAAUGUAAUAAGAACCCACGAUAUAGCUUUUGUAAUCAAAAGGAAGAUUUAUACACAGAAUUGGGUUAGAAGAUGGUGUUGGAAUGAGGGGGAAAGGUUUGGAAGAAACAUGUGCUAGUCAAGAUAAUAAAAGGCUGAUGCCAGAAAUUGUGCAAAUUAUUCCAUGAGAUGAUAAAAAAGUAGUAAGGACUUUUUCAAAUGACAAAUUAGAAAAGGGCUAGCAUUUGGCACUAGAUUGUUUUGAAAUAAUAAAAGACAACAGGCAAAGAUAAUUGAAGGACAAAGAUAACAUGAUGAUAUAUUCUGUUAA
RNAcentral lists this long non-coding RNA (958 nucleotides) under Fukomys damarensis (Damara mole-rat). RNAcentral describes it as "lncRNA (ENSFDAG00000028429.1)". Lineage: Eukaryota; Metazoa; Chordata; Mammalia; Rodentia; Bathyergidae. The record is from RNAcentral.